CAAUAGCGUAUAUUAAAGUUGUUGCGGUUAAAAAGCUCGUAGUUGGAUUUCUGCUGAGAACGACCGGUCCGCCCUUUGGGUGUGUAUCUGGCUCUUUCUUGGCAUCUUCUUGGUGAACGUUGCUGCACUUGACUGUGUGGAGCGCUACCCAGGACUUUUACUUUGAGGAAAUGAGAGUGUUCCAAGCAGGCAUCCGCCUUGAAUACGUUAGCAUGGAAUAAUAAGAUAGGAUUACGGUCCGUUUUUAUUGGUUUAGCGGCCGUGAUAAUGAUUAAUAGGAACAGUCGGGGGCAUUUGUAUUUAACUGUCAGAGGUGAAAUUCUUGGAUUUGUUAAAGACAAACUACUGCGAAAGCAUUUGCCAAGGAUGUUUUCAUUGA
This 379-nucleotide ribosomal RNA is filed under the name uncultured eukaryote. Its description in RNAcentral is "partial 18S ribosomal RNA". It matches the Rfam family "Eukaryotic small subunit ribosomal RNA", at positions 592 to 976 of the family's 1831-position model. The record is from RNAcentral.